RNAcentral lists this long non-coding RNA (1198 nucleotides) under Marmota monax (woodchuck). Lineage: Eukaryota; Metazoa; Chordata; Mammalia; Rodentia; Sciuridae. The record is from RNAcentral.
GAUCUCCUGAUAUUUGUAGUCUUAAAUCAUAGUGACAGCCACAUAUGAUUAAUAAGUUGGCAUGUUUAAAAGGUGUCCUCUAUCCCGUGAAGAAGUUGAAGGUGUAGACUUGCACCCCUUGGCCCACCAGCUGGUGAAUAAAGAUGGUUCUGCCUCCUGCCUUAAGAUUGACUCAGUGACUUAUGGCAAUCUUGCCAUAACAUCACCAACUUGAGAAAUCAUGGCACCCUGCACUAAGAUUUCCCUUUUAAUUUUUUCUUUUUCUUUUUUGGAUUUGAUGCCCUUUAGAAUUCUCUGUUAUAUUGGUACUUGCUGUCAAUAAGCAUCUUAUAAUGACAAUUUCAAACACACACAAAGUAGACAAGGUACUCUGAAGUGCUGCUAUUGAGCAUUGUGCUAGCAGAGUGGCACUCUUCAUUAUCUGCUCCCAGGCAUAAGCCUCUCGCUCCUGGGCUUCUGCUCCACACAUGUGCUCUCACUUCAUUCAUUUUUUGCAUUUGAAACCACCAGUGUUAAGGUUGUCAGUCUUCUCCUCCCAUCACACUCCUUACAAAGAAGCAAUAGGGCAACUGGCCAGAGUUCUCUGCAGUGGAACUGAUGAGGGGCAUGCAAGCACUCCAGGAUUUGUUAUUACCACUUCAGUCACUCCUAGAAGAUGUGGGUCUUGAAGAUUCAGAAGUCACUCAGGCCUCUUGGGCAAACACUCAUUCUACUGUAGCUGUGGACACAUCUGCCCACCUGGAUCCUCUGGAGGGAAAAGAAAUUAUUAGGCUGCAGCAAAGAUCUGUUUGUAAUUGAGGGCUCCUGAGCCUGUGGACACCUCUCCAGAGAACAAAGAACUUCCUGUGUGCCAUCUGGGUAAGGAGAUCCAUGGGUGAGCAUAAAGCAAUAGACAGGGCCUGGAGGAGCCCAGGGCUACAGGGAGAUGUGGAGUGAGCCUGAUCAUUGGUGCAAGUGGGUGUCUCAGUGCAGGUAGGAAAAGCAAAGCAAGCAUGCUGCAAGGGCUGCAUGGUGUGUGCAUCAUGGUGUGUGCAGUGUAUACAAAGGCUGUGUGGAUUUGGAUAAUAUGUGUGUACACAGGCACAGAAGGGGCCAACAAGUUCUUUAAGAAAACAACUGCCAUGCCUUUAAAUUUUACAAACAUUCACAAUGUCCAAUUUUAACUGCUGAAUUAAAGCAAACAAAUUUUCAGAAAUUA